Molecule: long non-coding RNA, 496 nt
Organism: Paramormyrops kingsleyae
Lineage: Eukaryota; Metazoa; Chordata; Actinopteri; Osteoglossiformes; Mormyridae
Source: RefSeq, a predicted model, not a curated record
GGUGGACGUCCAAUCGGAACAAACAGGCAGAGAGGCCGGCUAUCAAUGCCUCCUGUAGAGUUUUUGAUAUAAUGAAGGACGCCGGGGUUGGCUUUCAGUCUGCCAACACAAAACACCAUUCACAGCCUACAGCUACCUCCCUUGGAAUCGGCCCGGCGGCACGGGAGCGCAGAGACAACAAGAUUACCUAGGAAACGUGAUCUUAAGAGCACCAAAGAAUAGAACAGCUUCCUUUCGGAGUUCAUGGAAGAUCGCCUGACAGCCGUAAAGAAUGACUUGCCUUCAUGAGCAAUCCAGCAGAGAUGAAUCCACAGCUGCUGUUUGGGAUUGUAUGGGGGAAGUGUGAGCAUAGCACUGGUUUUAGGAAGGCGUGUCACCGGGACACAUGUGACACGUCACCCAUGGCAACAGGCGGCCGACCUCCAGGGGGCAGAGCACCUGACAUUCCCCCAGGGGGAGCCCUCCGAAGGGCUCCACAUCCGGGGAUGCUUGGGGA